This 498-nucleotide ribosomal RNA is filed under the name uncultured bacterium. RNAcentral's name for it is "partial 16S ribosomal RNA". It matches the Rfam family "Bacterial small subunit ribosomal RNA", at positions 29 to 523 of the family's 1533-position model. The record is from RNAcentral.
AUUGAACGCUGGCGGCAUGCCUUACACAUGCAAGUCGAACGGUAACAGGUCUUCGGAUGCUGACGAGUGGCGAACGGGUGAGUAAUACAUCGGAACGUGCCUAGUAGUGGGGGAUAACUACUCGAAAGAGUGGCUAAUACCGCAUGAGAUCUACGGAUGAAAGCAGGGGAUCGCAAGACCUUGUGCUACUAGAGCGGCCGAUGGCAGAUUAGGUAGUUGGUGGGAUAAAAGCUUACCAAGCCGACGAUCUGUAGCUGGUCUGAGAGGACGAUCAGCCAGACUGGGACUGAGACACGGCCCAGACGCCGUCGGGAGGCAGCAGUGGGGGAUGGUGGACAAUGGGCGAAAGCCUGAGCCAGCAAUGCCGCGUGUAGGAUGAAGGCCUUCGGGGUGUUGACGGCUGUUGUACGGAACGAAAAGCCCUGGGUUAAUACCCUGGGGUCAUGACGGUACCGUAAGAAUAAGCACCGGCUAACUACGUGCCAGCCGGCGCCGUAA